This 459-nucleotide long non-coding RNA is filed under the name Chinchilla lanigera (long-tailed chinchilla). RNAcentral's name for it is "lncRNA (ENSCLAG00000028930.1)". The record is from RNAcentral. Lineage: Eukaryota; Metazoa; Chordata; Mammalia; Rodentia; Chinchillidae.
UGCUACUGUUUCCAAUAACUGAUUCCAAGUUGAAUUCAUCCUAGAAUGUUGAGGUUUCCAAGUACUUACCAAGUAUUUACCAGCUCAAGAACAUUACAGAUUUCUCAUCAACUUGCCCAGGCCUCUUCUGAUCACCAUUUGCUUAGUAUCCUCAUUAGAAACUUGGAACCUCCCAUAUGAAAGCGAGGGCCUAUUUCAUCUCCAAUAAUGUAGUUCUGGUGAGCUGUUGGAGGUAUAGUUGAAAGGCGGUGUUGGGUGCACAGUGGGUGCACCUCCUGCCCUCUCUGAGGAUGCCUUCUGGAUCUUCAACACUGUGAGAUCACUCAACCCUGUCUGGAAUUUAUGUGAAUUGGGCUCAAUGAACUUAAUUAUAUGGAUGAAGUCAUACGAACCCACCUCCAUACCCCUGUCUAAAGUUUUUGCAGAAAAAAUAUGCAAAAAUAAAUAUAAGGAUCCAGA